RNAcentral lists this ribosomal RNA (496 nucleotides) under uncultured bacterium. Its description in RNAcentral is "partial 16S ribosomal RNA". It matches the Rfam family "Bacterial small subunit ribosomal RNA", at positions 29 to 507 of the family's 1533-position model. The record is from RNAcentral.
AUGAACGCUGGCGGCGUGCCUCAUACAUGCAAGUCGAGCGAACGGACGAGAAGCUUGCUUCUCUGAUGUUAGCGGCGGACGGGUGAGUAACACGUGGAUAACCUACCUAUAAGACUGGGAUAACUUCGGGAAACCGGAGCUAAUACCGGAUAAUAUUUUGAACCGCAUGGUUCAAAAGUGAAAGACGGUCUUGCUGUCACUUAUAGAUGGAUCCGCGCUGCAUUAGCUAGUUGGUAAGGUAACGGCUUACCAAGGCAACGAUGCAUAGCCGACCUGAGAGGGUGAUCGGCCACACUGGAACUGAGACACGGUCCAGACUCCUACGGGAGGCAGCAGUAGGGAAUCUUCCGCAAUGGGCGAAAGCCUGACGGAGCAACGCCGCGUGAGUGAUGAAGGUCUUCGGAUCGUAAAACUCCGUUAUUAGGGAAGAACAUAUGUGUAAGUAACUGUGCACAUCUUGACGGUACCUAAUCAGAAAGCCACGGCUAACUACGUG